RNAcentral lists this transfer RNA (68 nucleotides) under uncultured Eubacterium sp. It matches the Rfam family "tRNA". Rfam says of the family: Transfer RNA (tRNA) molecules are approximately 80 nucleotides in length. Their secondary structure includes four short double-helical elements and three loops (D, anti-codon, and T loops). Further hydrogen bonds mediate the characteristic L-shaped molecular structure. tRNAs have two regions of fundamental functional importance: the anti-codon, which is responsible for specific mRNA codon recognition, and the 3' end, to which the tRNAs corresponding amino acid is attached (by aminoacyl-tRNA synthetases). tRNAs cope with the degeneracy of the genetic code in two manners: having more than one tRNA (with a specific anti-codon) for a particular amino acid; and 'wobble' base-pairing, i.e. permitting non-standard base-pairing at the 3rd anti-codon position. The record is from RNAcentral. Lineage: Bacteria; Bacillati; Bacillota; Clostridia; Eubacteriales; Eubacteriaceae.
CGGAAUAGCUCAGCAGGUAGAGCACUUCACUCGUAAUGAAGGGGUCAUCGGUUCGAAUCCGACUUCCG